UCCGUCUCCUCAUCUACCUGAAGGGGAAUUUUUCUCUAUCAACUUUAGGGGAAUCAGAUCUUCUUCUUCUUCAGUUUUCACCUUCCCCUCUCUCUGAAAAAGAUUGAAAUUUCAUAAUUGGAAUCAUAAGAGCGAACUUAGUAGCAAAACAAGUAAUUUGUCUGUUGAUGUUGUUGGAAAGUUAGGGUUAAUAAUUUCAGAAGUAGAGUUCUCCGUAUUGAAGUUUAGGGAUUUUUCCAAAUCUCUUUAUAAUGUGAAAUUUUCUAUACUUUGAAACAUGGGUAGUUAGUAAUUUAUCUCCAUGGUAUGAAAUACGUUAUGUGAGUGGGAAGCUAAGAGAUGUAGUAGCAAAUAUGUAGAAAUGGAGUUGGUACGCGCUUGUAUCAUCUUUGACCGUAAUUAGAGCUUACAAAGAAAAAUGAAAAAUCCUUCGAUGGAUGAGGUGCAUGUAAACUGUUUGGUUUCUCGUAUCUGUAUAUAUUGCAAUAGAAUACUGAUUUGAGGCUUUAAUAUGUGUUUUCUUCUCUACUCCAUUAAAACUUACCAAGAGUGAGAGAUGCAUUGAUGUUUAGUUCAAAGAAGGAGGACAACAAAAUUUGAUUAUGUGUUAAAGCUAACAAUGGAAUCGCAUUGGUUUUGCUUGGGGUUCUUGGGAAAUUGUAAAGAUGGAAGCUGUCCUAUGGUGUUGAUCAUGUGGCUGUAGAUAAUCAUGCUCAUCUUGGCUUUGUCCAGCUGUGAUGAUCGUUUGGUUCCCAUGACGAAUGGUUCCGUUGUUGCAUUUUCGGAUUACAAAUGAACACAAUUUUUACUUGAGUGGCGUAUCAGAGAGUUGGAGCUUGCCAAGCGGGUCGUAACCCGACCCCUUGGGAGCGAAAAUUCUCUGGUCCGUCACAAGGAUCGUAUAGUGAGAUCCCGGAUCAAUGUAGACUCCAAGGAAAUGGAAGAAAGACCCAGAAGUAAGGACUACAGGAUGUUAACGCUCCUUGUGUCAUAAAUUUUCCCAUGCAAAUUAGGAUCACAAGACCAAGGAUUGUUAUUUCUUUUCAGAAUUUUGCUCCAUCGAUUGACGAUAUUCAACUUGUUCCCGGGCAAACAAUUCAGGAAUCCAGCACUGAUGAAGAAGUCGAUAUACGCAGCAUGUCAUGUUAAUGAAGCGCACUCUUCUUUGGAACAUGGGAAUAUGGAGAAUUUCCAAAAUCCCGAACCAAAUGGAGAUAACAGCAUUGCCAAUGGAGAUUCCGGCAUUGUCGAGCCCUCAAAUGAUUUAGAGACUCCCCGGAUAAGUACAUCUCUUGUAAUUUCUUCAUGUAAGUAUGAAAUUUCUGAUUUAUGAAUGAAUGAAUGAGAAUCCAUGUGAGUAUACGAGUAAUUUUGCUGAAAUACGUCACCAGAAAAUUUCAGACUUCAACAUUUUAGUAAAAACACUGUAUAAUCCUCGUCCGGAUUCGGAUUUUUGCGGUCUGCAUAUGUAUCUUCAAGCCCAGGAAAUUUCCAAGCUUUUGUGAAGAAAUUUUUUGAGUUUUGAGCAUGUCUAGGGCCUGA
Molecule: long non-coding RNA, 1542 nt
Organism: Papaver somniferum (opium poppy)
Lineage: Eukaryota; Viridiplantae; Streptophyta; Magnoliopsida; Ranunculales; Papaveraceae
Exons: 3
Source: RefSeq, a predicted model, not a curated record